This 244-nucleotide unclassified non-coding RNA is filed under the name Ascomycota sp. Its description in RNAcentral is "partial contains small subunit ribosomal RNA, internal transcribed spacer 1, and 5.8S ribosomal RNA". The stretch from base 1 to 47 matches the Rfam family "Eukaryotic small subunit ribosomal RNA", at positions 1785 to 1831 of the family's 1831-position model. Lineage: Eukaryota; Fungi; Ascomycota. The record is from RNAcentral.
AAAGUCGUAACAAGGUCUCCGUAGGUGAACCUGCGGAGGGAUCAUUAAUCGUAACUCCUCCCGCCCUCCGGGGCGGUGGCAGGAUGCAACGAAACCCACUGUUGUCCGACCGCGUUGCCUCGGGGGCGGCCCUGCCUCGUGCCGGGCCCCCCCGGUGGACCAAACCAAACUCUUGCGUAACCUUUGCAGUCUGAGUGAUUUAUUAAAUGAAUCAAAACUUUCAACAACGGAUCUCUUGGUUCUG